Molecule: ribosomal RNA, 492 nt
Filed under: uncultured bacterium
Lineage: Bacteria
Description: partial 16S ribosomal RNA
Rfam family: Bacterial small subunit ribosomal RNA
Source: RNAcentral
AUUGAACGCUGGCGGCAUGCUUUACACAUGCAAGUCGAACGGUAACAGGCCUUCGGGUGCUGACGAGUGGCGGACGGGUGAGUAAUGCAUCGGAACGUGCCCAGAGGUGGGGGAUAACGCAACGAAAGCUGUGCUAAUACCGCAUGUGAUCGGAGGAUGAAAGCGGGGGACCAGGCAGCAAUGUUUGGCCUCGCGCCUUUGGAGCGGCCGAUGUCCGAUUAGGUAGUUGGUGGGGUAAAGGCCUACCAAGCCGACGAUCUGUAGCUGGUGUGAGAGGCCGGCCAGCCACACUGGGACUGAGACACGGCCCAGACUCCUGAGGGAGGCAGCAGUGGGGAAUUUUGGACAAUGGGCGCAAGCCUGAUCCAGCAAUGCCGCGUGCGGGAAGAAGGCCUUCGGGUUGUAAACCGCUUUUGUGCGGAACGAAAAGGCUCUGGCUAAUACCUGGGGCUGAUGACGGUACCGUAAGAAUAAGCACCGGCUAACUACGUG